Molecule: transfer RNA, 74 nt
Filed under: Eragrostis curvula (weeping love grass)
Lineage: Eukaryota; Viridiplantae; Streptophyta; Magnoliopsida; Poales; Poaceae
Description: tRNA tRNA-Val
Source: RNAcentral
GUCUGGGUGGUGUAGUUGGUUGUCACGUUAGUCUCACACACUAAAGGUCCCUAGUUCGAACCUGGGCUCAGACA